CCGAGCCCACCGCACCACCAACUCUUCCUCCUCCUGCGCGGCUGCAGCUGCCGGCCAUGUCGGUGGAGACGGAGCGGAGCUCCACGGAGUCCUCCGCCGCCUCGGGCCUCGACUUCGAGGACACCGCCCUCACCCUUCGCCUCCCCGGCUCCGACCCCGACCGCAAGCGCGCCUCCACCUCCGACCCCGACUGCCCCUCCCCGACCGCCGCCGCCUCCGACUCUCCCCCUUCCCCC
RNAcentral lists this long non-coding RNA (236 nucleotides) under Hordeum vulgare. RNAcentral's name for it is "long non-coding RNA (HVUL_LNC000723)". Lineage: Eukaryota; Viridiplantae; Streptophyta; Magnoliopsida; Poales; Poaceae. The record is from RNAcentral.